This 196-nucleotide unclassified non-coding RNA is filed under the name plant metagenome. Its description in RNAcentral is "partial contains small subunit ribosomal RNA and internal transcribed spacer 1". The stretch from base 1 to 46 matches the Rfam family "Eukaryotic small subunit ribosomal RNA", at positions 1786 to 1831 of the family's 1831-position model. The record is from RNAcentral.
AAGUCGUAACAAGGCUUCCGUAGGUGAACCUGCGGAAGGAUCAUUAGUGAAUAACGUGGUUGUCUUCGCUUCGGCAAGGCAUCCGCACCUCACAUCCAUACACUAGCUGACGACUAGAUGUGGUGUACUCGUUGCCCAUCUGCCCUUAUCUAACAAUCAGUAGUAAUAAAAGUAGUUAUAUUAUAAUCUAAUAAAA